UUAAUUGAAACCAAAAUAGAGGUAUGUCACUGUUAAUGAUAUUAAUGAAUUUCAAUUCCAAUUAAA
This 66-nucleotide transfer RNA is filed under the name Papilio glaucus (eastern tiger swallowtail). Its description in RNAcentral is "tRNA-Asn". The record is from RNAcentral. Lineage: Eukaryota; Metazoa; Arthropoda; Insecta; Lepidoptera; Papilionidae.